RNAcentral lists this ribosomal RNA (253 nucleotides) under uncultured bacterium. RNAcentral's name for it is "partial 16S ribosomal RNA". It matches the Rfam family "Bacterial small subunit ribosomal RNA", at positions 524 to 776 of the family's 1533-position model. The record is from RNAcentral.
UACGUAGGGGGCUAGCGUUGUCCGGAAUCAUUGGGCGUAAAGCGCGUGUAGGCGGUUCGGUAAGUCCGCUGUGAAAGUCGGGGGCUCAACCCUCGAAUGCCGGUGGAUACUGUCGGACUAGAGUACGGAAGAGGCGAGUGGAAUUCCUGGUGUAGCGGUGAAAUGCGCAGAUAUCAGGAGGAACACCGAUGGCGAAGGCAGGUCUCUGGGCCACUACUGACGCUGAGAAGCGAAAGCAUGGGGAGCGAACAGG